Molecule: non-coding RNA, 96 nt
Organism: Nicotiana sylvestris (wood tobacco)
Lineage: Eukaryota; Viridiplantae; Streptophyta; Magnoliopsida; Solanales; Solanaceae
Source: Rfam
UGGACAAAUUAUUGUAUUCGACUGUAUUCACGGCGUAAAACAGAGGAUUACACUGUUUUUAAACGGAAAGUGAAUCAAUUAACAUAAUAGACUCCU